UACGUAGGUGGCAAGCGUUGUCCGGAAUUAUUGGGCGUAAAGCGCGCGCAGGUGGUUCUUUAAGUCUGAUGUGAAAGCCCACGGCUCAACCGUGGAGGGUCAUUGGAAACUGGGGAACUUGAGUGCAGAAGAGGAAAGUGGAAUUCCAAGUGUAGCGGUGAAAUGCGUAGAGAUUUGGAGGAACACCAGUGGCGAAGGCGACUUUCUGGUCUGUAACUGACACUGAGGCGCGAAAGCGUGGGGAGCAAACAGG
This 253-nucleotide ribosomal RNA is filed under the name uncultured bacterium. Its description in RNAcentral is "partial 16S ribosomal RNA". It matches the Rfam family "Bacterial small subunit ribosomal RNA", at positions 524 to 776 of the family's 1533-position model. The record is from RNAcentral.